AAUUUUUUAAAUAUUUUAAUAUAUUCAUUAUUUUUAACUAUUAAAAUCAAAUUUAUUUAAAAUUAAACCAUUAGUUUUUUUAUUUUUUGUACAAAAUUUUAUUAUUUUAUUUUUAUAAAUGGAAAAUAUGUUUAUUAAAUUAAAUAUUGAAAAAACAUUUAUUAAUUAAUAGAUAAGAAGUUGAUUUUUAUUAAAUAAAACAUUGUAUUGGAUAAAAGUUGAAUAUGCGUUGAAUUUGCGAGGGAUAUUAAAGAUUAAAAACUUUAAGUGUUGAAUGUUAAUAUCAAUAAUCU
This 293-nucleotide long non-coding RNA is filed under the name Brassica rapa (field mustard). RNAcentral describes it as "long non-coding RNA (BRAP_LNC001834)". The record is from RNAcentral. Lineage: Eukaryota; Viridiplantae; Streptophyta; Magnoliopsida; Brassicales; Brassicaceae.